This 240-nucleotide unclassified non-coding RNA is filed under the name soil metagenome. Its description in RNAcentral is "partial contains 5.8S ribosomal RNA, internal transcribed spacer 2, and large subunit ribosomal RNA". The record is from RNAcentral.
AACAAGGCGUACCUGCGGACCUGCGGAGGGAUCAUUACUGAGUGUAAAAACUCCCAACCCUUUGUGAACAUACCUCUGUUGCUUCGGCGGAUGCGCCCCGGGCGCGCCUCCUAGGAGGCGUGCCCCGGAACCAGGCGCCCGCCGGGGGACCUACAAACUCUUGUAUUCCUAGCGGAUCUCUGAGUGUGAUUUAAACAAAUCAAAUCAAAACUUUUAACAAUGGAUCUCAGAUCGGAAGAG